UACGUAGGGGCCUAGCGUUGUCCGGAUUUAUUGGGCGUAAAGAGCUCGUAGGCGGUUUGGUAAGUCGGGUGUGAAAUCUCCACGCUCAACGUGGAGGGGCCACCCGAUACUGCCAUGACUGGAGUCCGGUAGGGGAGUGUGGAAUUCCCGGUGUAGCGGUGAAAUGCGCAGAUAUCGGGAGGAACACCAGUAGCGAAGGCGACACGCUGGGCCGGAACUGACGCUGAGGAGCGAAAGCGUGGGGAGCAAACAGG
RNAcentral lists this ribosomal RNA (254 nucleotides) under uncultured bacterium. RNAcentral's name for it is "partial 16S ribosomal RNA". It matches the Rfam family "Bacterial small subunit ribosomal RNA", at positions 524 to 776 of the family's 1533-position model. The record is from RNAcentral.